CUUCACCGAACCCAACCACAACGGGUCACCGGAACGAUCCUGACCAUAGGUGGCCAGCAGCGCCUGCGCCUC
Actinoplanes derwentensis is the source of this 72-nucleotide non-coding RNA. It matches the Rfam family "ASpks TB sRNA". The record is from Rfam. NCBI's taxonomy places the organism in Bacteria, Bacillati, Actinomycetota, Actinomycetes, Micromonosporales, Micromonosporaceae.